Molecule: transfer RNA, 72 nt
Filed under: Bacteroidales bacterium
Lineage: Bacteria; Pseudomonadati; Bacteroidota; Bacteroidia; Bacteroidales
Description: tRNA-Arg
Rfam family: tRNA
About the family: Transfer RNA (tRNA) molecules are approximately 80 nucleotides in length. Their secondary structure includes four short double-helical elements and three loops (D, anti-codon, and T loops).
Source: RNAcentral
GCUCUCGUAGUUCAAUGGAUAGAAUAUAGGAUUCCGGUUCCUACGAUGUGGGUUCGAUUCCCGCCGAGAGUA